AAUAGAUACCCAGGUAGUCCACGCCGUAAACGAUGGAUACUAGGUGUGGGGGAUUCGAUUCCUCCGUGCCGCCGUUAACACAAUAAGUAUCCCGCCUGGGGAGUACGGUCGCAAGAUUAAAACUCAAAGGAAUUGACGGGGGCCCGCACAAGCAGCGGAGCAUGUGGUUUAAUUCGAAGCAACGCGAAGAACCUUACCUAGACUUGACAUCUCCUGAAUUACCCUUAACCGGGGAAGCCCUUCGGGGCAGGAAGACAGGUGGUGCAUGGUUGUCGUCAGCUCGUGUCGUGAGAUGUUGGGUUAAGUCCCGCAACGAGCGCAACCCUUAUUGUUAGUUGCUACCAUUAAGUUGAGCACUCUAGCGAGACUGCCUGGGUUAACCAGGAGGAAGGUGGGGAUGACGUCAAAUCAUCAUGCCCCUUAUGUCUAGGGCUACACACGUGCUACAAUGGCAAGUACAGAUAGAUGCGAUACCGCGAGGUGGAGCAAAACUGAAAAACUUGUCCCAGUUCGGAUUGUAGGCUGAAACUCGCCUACAUGAGGCCGGU
RNAcentral lists this ribosomal RNA (548 nucleotides) under uncultured bacterium. RNAcentral describes it as "bacterial SSU rRNA". It matches the Rfam family "Bacterial small subunit ribosomal RNA", at positions 777 to 1330 of the family's 1533-position model. The record is from RNAcentral.